UAGGGAAUAUUAGAAAUGGGAGAAAUCCUGAAGCAGCAACGCCGCGUGGAGGAUGAAGGGCUUUCAGCUUGUAAACUCCUGUAAAGAAGGAAAAAAUUCCCAUUAGAUGGGAAAUGAUGGUACUUCUAAAGUAAGCCCCGGCUAACUACGUGCCAGCAGCCGCGGUAAUACGUAGGGGGCAAGCGUUGUCCGGAUUUACUGGGUGUAAAGGGUGCUCAGGCGGAUUUGUAAGUCAGAGGUGAAAUCUCACAGCUUAACUGUGAAACUGCCUUUGAUACUGCAAGUCUAGAGUAUGGAAGAGAGUGAUGGAAUGUCUGGUGUAGCAGUGAAAUGCGUAGAUAUCAGAUAGAACACCAAUGGCGAAGGCAGUCACUUGGUCCAUUACUGACGCUAAAGCACGAAAGCGUGGGUAGCAAACA
Molecule: ribosomal RNA, 419 nt
Filed under: uncultured prokaryote
Description: bacterial SSU rRNA
Rfam family: Bacterial small subunit ribosomal RNA
Source: RNAcentral